This 559-nucleotide ribosomal RNA is filed under the name uncultured bacterium. RNAcentral's name for it is "partial 16S ribosomal RNA". It matches the Rfam family "Bacterial small subunit ribosomal RNA", at positions 355 to 906 of the family's 1533-position model. The record is from RNAcentral.
UGGGGAAUUUUGGACAAUGGGCGAAAGCCUGAUCCAGCAAUGCCGCGUGUGUGAAGAAGGCCAUUCGGGUUGUAAAGCACUUUUGUCCGGAAAGAAAUCCUUGGCUCUAAUACAGUCGGGGGAUGACGGUACCGGAAGAAUAAGCACCGGCUAACUACGUGCCAGCAGCCGCGGUAAUACGUAGGGUGCAAGCGUUAAUCGGAAUUACUGGGCGUAAAGCGUGCGCAGGCGGUUUGCUAAGACCGAUGUGAAAUCCCCGGGCUCAACCUGGGAACUGCAUUGGUGACUGGCAGGCUAGAGUAUGGCAGAGGGGGGUAGAAUUCCACGUGUAGCAGUGAAAUGCGUAGAGAUGUGGAGGAAUACCGAUGGCGAAGGCAGCCCCCUGGGCCAAUACUGACGCUCAUGCACGAAAGCGUGGGGAGCAAACAGGAUUAGAUACCCUGGUAGUCCACGCCCUAAACGAUGUCAACUAGUUGUUGGGGAUUCAUUUCCUUAGUAACGUAGCUAACGCGUGAAGUUGACCGCCUGGGGAGUACGGUCGCAAGAUUAAAACUCAAAU